CGGCGGCAGCUACACAUGCAAGUCGAACGGUAACAGGAAGCAGCUUGCUGCUUUGCUGACGAGUGGCGGACGGGUGAGUAAUGUCUGGGAAACUGCCCGAUGGAGGGGGAUAACUACUGGAAACGGUAGCUAAUACCGCAUAAUGUCGCAAGACCAAAGAGGGGGACCUUCGGGCCUCUUGCCAUCGGAUGUGCCCAGAUGGGAUUAGCUAGUUGGUGAGGUAACGGCUCACCAAGGCGACGAUCCCUAGCUGGUCUGAGAGGAUGACCAGCCACACUGGAACUGAGACACGGUCCAGACUCCUACGGGAGGCAGCAGUGGGGAAUAUUGCACAAUGGGCGCAAGCCUGAUGCAGCCAUGCCGCGUGUAUGAAGAAGGCCUUCGGGUUGUAAAGUACUUUCAGCGGGGAGGAAGGGGUUAAGGUUAAUAACCUUAGCCAUUGACGUUACCCGCAGAAGAAGCACCGGCUAACUCCGUGCCAGCAGCCGCGGUAAUACGGAGGGUGCAAGCGUUAAUCGGAAUUACUGGGCGUAAAGCGCACGCAGGCGGUCUGUCAAGUCGGAUGUGAAAUCCCCGGGCUCAACCUGGGAACUGCAUUCGAAACUGGCAGGCUUGAGUCUCGUAGAGGGGGGUAGAAUUCCAGGUGUAGCGGUGAAAUGCGUAGAGAUCUGGAGGAAUACCGGUGGCGAAGGCGGCCCCCUGGACGAAGACUGACGCUCAGGUGCGAAAGCGUGGGGAGCAAACAGGAUUAGAUACCCUGGUAGUCCACGCCGUAAACGAUGUCUAUUUGGAGGUUGUGCCCUUGAGGCGUGGCUUCCGGAGCUAACGCGUUAAAUAGACCGCCUGGGGAGUACGGCCGCAAGGUUAAAACUCAAAUGAAUUGACGGGGGCCCGCACAAGCGGUGGAGCAUGUGGUUUAAUUCGAUGCAACGCGAAGAACCUUACCUGGUCUUGACAUCCACAGAACUUGGCAGAGAUGCCUUGGUGCCUUUCGGGAACUGUGAGACAGUGCUGCAUGGCUGUCGUCAGCUCGUGUUGUGAAAUGUUGGGUUAGUCCCGCAACGAGCGCAACCCUUAUCCCUUUGUUGCCAGCGGUUCCGGCCGGGAACUUCAAAGGAGA
This 1120-nucleotide ribosomal RNA is filed under the name Citrobacter amalonaticus. Its description in RNAcentral is "bacterial SSU rRNA". It matches the Rfam family "Bacterial small subunit ribosomal RNA", at positions 40 to 1148 of the family's 1533-position model. The record is from RNAcentral. Lineage: Bacteria; Pseudomonadati; Pseudomonadota; Gammaproteobacteria; Enterobacterales; Enterobacteriaceae.